GAAAUGCGAUAACUAGUGUGAAUUGCAGAAUCCCGUGAAUCAUCGAGUCUUUGAACGCACAUUGCGCCCCCUGGUAUUCCGGGGGGCAUGCCUGUCCGAGCGUCAUUGCUGCCCAUCAAGCACGGCUUGUGUGUUGGGUCGUCGUCCCCUCUCCGGGGGGGACGGGCCCCAAAGGCAGCGGCGGCACCGCGUCCGAUCCUCGAGCGUAUGGGGCUUUGUCACCCGCUCUGUAGGCCCGGCCGGCGCUUGCCGAACGCAAAUCAAUCUUUUUCCAGGUUGACCUCGGAUCAGGUAGGGAUACCCGCUGAACUUAAGC
RNAcentral lists this unclassified non-coding RNA (316 nucleotides) under plant metagenome. Its description in RNAcentral is "partial contains 5.8S ribosomal RNA, internal transcribed spacer 2, and large subunit ribosomal RNA". The stretch from base 1 to 105 matches the Rfam family "5.8S ribosomal RNA", at positions 50 to 154 of the family's 154-position model. The record is from RNAcentral.